This 402-nucleotide ribosomal RNA is filed under the name Actinomycetes bacterium. RNAcentral's name for it is "Actinobacteria bacterium partial 16S ribosomal RNA". It matches the Rfam family "Bacterial small subunit ribosomal RNA", at positions 355 to 776 of the family's 1533-position model. The record is from RNAcentral. Lineage: Bacteria; Bacillati; Actinomycetota; Actinomycetes.
UGGGGAAUUUUGCACAAUGGGGGCAACCCUGAUGCAGCGACGCCGCGUGAUUUAGAAGGCCUUCGGGUUGUAAAAAUCUUUUGUAUAGGAAGAAAAUGACAGUACUAUACGAAUAAGGUCCGGCUAAUUUCGUGCCAGCAGCCGCGGUAAUACGUAAGGACCGAGCGUUGUCCGGAAUCAUUGGGCGUAAAGGGUACGUAGGCGGUUAAAAAAGUUAGAAGUGAAAGGCUAUAGCUCAACUAUAGUAAGCUUUUAAAACUGUUUAACUUGAGAGAUGGAAGGGAAAGUGGAAUUCCUAGUGUAGCGGUGAAAUGCGCAGAUAUUAGGAGGAAUACCGGUGGCGAAGGCGACUUUCUGGCCAUUAUCUGACGCUGAGGUACGAAAGCGUGGGUAGCAAACAGG